RNAcentral lists this ribosomal RNA (465 nucleotides) under Vreelandella stevensii. RNAcentral describes it as "partial 16S ribosomal RNA". It matches the Rfam family "Bacterial small subunit ribosomal RNA", at positions 338 to 795 of the family's 1533-position model. Lineage: Bacteria; Pseudomonadati; Pseudomonadota; Gammaproteobacteria; Oceanospirillales; Halomonadaceae. The record is from RNAcentral.
CCUACGGGAGGCAGCAGUGGGGAAUAUUGGACAAUGGGGGCAACCCUGAUCCAGCCAUGCCGCGUGUGUGAAGAAGGCCCUCGGGUUGUAAAGCACUUUCAGUGAGGAAGAACGCCUGGUGGUUAAUACCCAUCAGGAAAGACAUCACUCACAGAAGAAGCACCGGCUAACUCCGUGCCAGCAGCCGCGGUAAUACGGAGGGUGCGAGCGUUAAUCGGAAUUACUGGGCGUAAAGCGCGCGUAGGUGGCUUGAUAAGCCGGUUGUGAAAGCCCCGGGCUCAACCUGGGAACGGCAUCCGGAACUGUCAAGCUAGAGUGCAGGAGAGGGAGGUAGAAUUCCAGGUGUAGCGGUGAAAUGCGUAGAGAUCGGGAGGAAUACCAGUGGCGAAGGCGGCCUUCUGGACUGACACUGACACUGAGGUGCGAAAGCGUGGGUAGCAAACAGGAUUAGAUACCCGAGUAGUC